AAUAUUGAAAUGAACUUCCAUAAAAAUUGGCUCGUUCACAUAGUAUUUCGUUAAAAAUCGCUGUUUAAACAUUUGUUUAACCGGAAUGAUUUUCGAGCUCUUUUUAUUUCGGACAAAGAAUUGAACUUUCACUGUUUCAGAAAUUCUGACAUAUAAUGAGAUAAAUUCGAGUUAAUAAUUAUUUAAUACGUAAAUUUUAACAAAAUAGUUUUCUUGAUUGUAUUUUGACGACACAGUAGCAUAUGAUUAUCAUUUGAUACACUGUAGUAUGUAUUGUAAUAUUAAAUUUUAAAUUGAAUAAACUGCGAAUUACUUUUUUAUUUUUAAUUGUUUUUAAGUAACACAGUAAACUAAAUAUACUGGUAGCCCUUUUGUUACACUAAAGCAGGAACAUGCUGCUUUGAUUAAUUGACACCAUUUGUUGUUCAAGCAAAUGAAUAUGGCUAGUACUCAUAAAUAAUUGACACCAGACAGUCACAGUUAUUCCUUAAAUGAUACAAAUAGAGAUCUGCAACUGCAAUAAGCAGAACUUAUUUUUUUUACGAUGAUAAUUUCAUGGAUCAUCAGGCGAAGCCAUUGUUGAUCAAUGAUAUAAAUGCUCUAUUACCCAAAAAGUGCUAAUUUAAAGUCCACUGACUUCUUGCAUUCAUCUGUCAGGUUUAUAACUGUGUUCAGGUUGUAAAACUCAUGUGUAAACAAGUCAAUAAUUAUAAGAAUAUCUGUAUGUCCCAAAAAUUGUGCAUUUUGCCUGAAAAAGAGGGCAUCUCAAAACAAAGUGUACAAAAACAUAACAGUAAUUGUGGUAAUAAGAUUUUUAAAUCCUUAUGCUUACAUGUACUUAAACGGUUUACAUGUAAUAUCAGACUUCCCGAAACUCCGUCGGACCUACGGACAUGUCCGACACAAACAGUCAAGGGCCGAUCGAAAUUCUUAACUCGUCGGCCCAAAAUGUCCGACACAAAUAUUUUCCGGUUUUCCCAAGAAAUUAAAAGUAUUUGUAGAACAUCGGCGAAAUACGGCGGAAUACGCACUUGGCCGAUUUUGUGAAAUACGAGAUUUUGUGAAAUCGAAUGUAUUCGUCUGUCAGUUAACCCGCUGUUGAUUGGUCCAAAGUCGUAUUGUCAAAAAUCGGAAAUAAUCUGUCCGUGCUCGGUGAAAAAUGUUCUAGAAAUACAUAUGGUUCCCUGCUUAUUGUCGACGAGUAAAUAAAUGCAUGCUUCAAGCCGGGAUCGGUACAUUUUACCAUCAUUCGAUCGACUUUUAGUUUAAACAAAAGUGAAAGUUAAACAAAGCAACAGCUUGCAGUUAUCAACGAUAUCGAGGAUCACGCACGGAGUUUAACGGGGAUUUAUAACCAGAGCAAUUGCCCCCAAGCAGCCCGAGCCUGGACACUCGCAGAACGAUGAAGAAGACUGGGAACAAGAUGAAAGUGAUGAUGACAUUAAGCUUUUAAAUAGAUACGAUACAGAUAGUGAUUUUAUUAGUGACUUUAAUAAUGAGGAAGUGGAUGUUAACAAACUUUGUCUUUGUUACUUUACUUUGUUACUGAAAGUAAUAUGAUUAACAAUAAAAUGAUAAAGCAA
Molecule: long non-coding RNA, 1583 nt
Organism: Dreissena polymorpha
Lineage: Eukaryota; Metazoa; Mollusca; Bivalvia; Myida; Dreissenidae
Exons: 2
Source: RefSeq, a predicted model, not a curated record